UGAUGGUAGUAGUAGUAGUAGUGGUAUGGGUGGUAAUGGUAAUGAUAGCAGUUUAGUGAUGUGGUGGUGGUGGUAGUAGUAGUAGUAGUGGUAUGGGUGGUAAUGGUAAUGAUAGCAGUUUAGUGGGGGUGGUGGUAGUAGUAGUGGUAUGGGUGGUAAUGGUAAUGAUAGCAGUUUAGUGAUGGUGGUGGUAGUAGUAGUGGUAUGGGUGGUAAUGGUAAUGAUAGCAGUUUAGUGAUGGUGGUGGUAGUAGUAGUGGUAUGGGUGGUAAUGGUAAUGAUAACAGUUUAGUGAUGUGGUGGUAGUAGUAGUAGUGGUAUGGGUAGUAAUGGUAAUGAUAGCAGUUUAGUGAUGGUGGUGGUAGUAGUAGUGGUAUGGGUGGUAAUGGUAAUGAUAGCAGUUUAGUGAUGGUGGUGGUAGUAGUAGUGGUAUGGGUAGUAAUGGUAAUGAUAGCAGUUUAGUGAUGGUGGUGGUAGUAGUAGUAGUAGUAGUAG
This 494-nucleotide long non-coding RNA is filed under the name Salmo salar (Atlantic salmon). RNAcentral describes it as "lncRNA (ENSSSAG00000087642.1)". The record is from RNAcentral. Lineage: Eukaryota; Metazoa; Chordata; Actinopteri; Salmoniformes; Salmonidae.